CCCUUAGAUGUUCUGGGCCGCACGCGCGCUACACUGAUGCAUUCAACGAGUUUCUUCCUGGUCCGAGAGGAAUGGGUAACCUUUUGAAAGUGCAUCGUGAUAGGGAUAGACUAUUGCAAUUAUUGGUCUUCAACGAGGAAUUCCUAGUAGACGUAGUUCAUCAGACUGCAUCGAUUACGUCCCUGCCCUUUGUACACACCGCCCGUCGCACCUACCGAUUGAAUGGUCCGGUGAAAUCUUGGGAUUUUGUUUUGUUUGCAUUUAUUUGUAUCGAGACGAGAGAACUUGAGUAAACCUUACCAUUUAGAGGAAGGUGAAGUCGUAACA
This 327-nucleotide ribosomal RNA is filed under the name uncultured eukaryote. RNAcentral's name for it is "partial 18S ribosomal RNA". It matches the Rfam family "Eukaryotic small subunit ribosomal RNA", at positions 1470 to 1796 of the family's 1831-position model. The record is from RNAcentral.